RNAcentral lists this ribosomal RNA (674 nucleotides) under Marinobacter sp. GHL04. Its description in RNAcentral is "bacterial SSU rRNA". It matches the Rfam family "Bacterial small subunit ribosomal RNA", at positions 85 to 755 of the family's 1533-position model. Lineage: Bacteria; Pseudomonadati; Pseudomonadota; Gammaproteobacteria; Pseudomonadales; Marinobacteraceae. The record is from RNAcentral.
CAGGCGUCGAGCGGCGGACGGGUGAGUAAUGCUUGAGAAUCUGCCUAUUUGUGGGGGAUAGCUCGGGGAAACUCGGAUUAAUACCGCAUACGCCCUACGGGGGAAAGCAGGGGAUCUUCGGACCUUGCGCUAUUGGAUGAGCCUAAGUCGGAUUAGCUUGUUGGUGGGGUAAUGGCCUACCAAGGCGACGAUCCGUAGCUGGUCUGAGAGGAUGAUCAGCCACAUCGGGACUGAGACACGGCCCGAACUCCUACGGGAGGCAGCAGUGGGGAAUAUUGGACAAUGGGCGCAAGCCUGAUCCAGCCAUGCCGCGUGUGUGAAGAAGGCUUUCGGGUUGUAAAGCACUUUCAGCGAGGAGGAAGGCUUUAACGCUAAUAUGGUGAAGGAUUGACGUCACUCGCAGAAGAAGCACCGGCUAACUCCGUGCCAGCAGCCGCGGUAAUACGGAGGGUGCAAGCGUUAAUCGGAAUUACUGGGCGUAAAGCGCGCGUAGGUGGUUAUGUAAGCGAGAUGUGAAAGCCCCGGGCUCAACCUGGGAACGGCACUUGAAACUGCAUGGCUAGAGUGUGGUAGAGGGAAGUGGAAUUUCCUGUGUAGCGGUGAAAUGCGUAGAUAUAGGAAGGAACACCAGUGGCGAAGGCGGCUACCUGGACUGACACUGACACUGAGGUGCG